GACAAAUAUUUAUACUAGCUAGGUUAAGGUAUAAGCUGGUUUAAUAAAUGGGGGGGUGUAAAUUCUUUGCCAAUUAUCAUGAAUCCAUGACACAUUACAUAGCUAUGUUUCCAAUACCAGGAAUGUUUUCACUCUUGUUGAGAAACUCUUAAAACCAAUUAAAAAAAAACCUCUUGGUUACUGCCAAUGUAUGCAUGCCACUACUGCCCCAUAAGGGUUAUCCUGCCACACUGAUUGUUGAUGUAGUGCAAGAAAAUUAUACAUUGGUAGAACUGUUGUUUGCCUGCCUCCUGUGGAAGAUUUCAUGGUUCUUUCAGAUUUCCUUAAAUUAGUCCUCAGGCAGGGGCAUUCAUGAAAGUUCUAGCUCAGGCAUUUCUGAGCUAGAUGUUUCUGCUGUGCAUGUCUUCCCCACUGAAGAUUUAAAUUUCAUCUUUGAUGGGUAACCAAGUGCAAUAGCAAUAGACUUAAUUUGGAGUAGAUUUGGUCAUCCCUGGCCAACAACUCAAAAGAGGGCUAACACCCCAACAUAAAUGAUUUUGGCUCAAUUGGAGACAUAAAAUAGCUAGCUAACAGUUUUGGUUUUUUUCAUUGUUAGAGUAUGUUUAGAUUGGUGGAUAUCUCUAAUACGUUUACUAUCGGGUAUUUUAUUCCUCCAUAUUAUUGGAUAGUUAUAUUAUCAAUAUUUACCAAAUUACCCAUUAAAAUAUUUUACUAGAUAUUAAAUGAAAUGGCAUUAAAGAUAAAUAAUUUAACAUGUCUAUCAAUGCUUAAAAUGUUUUGAUUUAGUCUGUGAAUGAGCUAAGAACAUAUCUACAGGAAAGUGAGCCGGUGACCGUCCAGGUUACGUGACUGUAGAAAUAACCAUUGUUCUGCUCUCUCCUAGCAUGCACAGAUAUUGCUUCUGUGUAAAGCAAGUUGUGAUGUGUAGAUUUCUGCAUUGCUGGGCUACAAUAAUUUAGGAAAGUUCUUGGUAAAAGUGGCAAAUUGAAUAAUGUAUAAUGACCAAAAAUAUUCAAUCAAAUUGUUUAUUAAAAUACAUAGGAGAUCAUUUUCAAUGAUAAGAUUGGUAAUUCAAGAUCACACUGAAAGCUUGCAAAGGACACAGUCAAUGCAAGUGCUGGUUUUAAAAAAAAAAAGACAUUUUCAGUUUUCCUGCUUCCACCAGUAGAGGGAAUUCCAACAGUUAUUUCAGUUAUAAAUGGAAGUAUUUCAAAUCACCUUUGAAAGUUUAAACCAAUGUAUGUUGAUAUGUCUCUCUUAUGGAAGUCAAUUUGAAGAUGUUGAAAGUUUACUUAAUAUAAUUAUUCUCAAUCUACUUAAUAGCAACAUUAUUUUAAAUAAGUAUAUCAAAGUUUGAACACGAAGAUGCUGAUUUUUAUAGAUAUCCUAACACUAUUUAACUAUUUGACUUUUAUUAAUAACACUGAAGCAAAAGUAGUAUGGGUUUGAUGAAAUUACUAUUAACAUCUAAUGUCGGUAGAAAUAGAAUUAUUUUACUUUUCUUUUAAACAUAAUAUACUAUAUCUUUCCACAAAAGGAAAACUACCUUCCCUUAUAUGCAGGCUCUAGAACCAGUCAUGGUGCCUCAUCCCUGUAACCACAGAUUACUUGAGACCUACACAAGUAAUUUGCUAUGAAGUCAUCAUGAAUCUGGACUACAGAGUGAGCCCCUUUAUAAAACACAAAACCAAGCCUAAAACCCCUAACAGAAUGCCAAAAACCUAGCCACCAAACACCCCUCCC
This 1743-nucleotide long non-coding RNA is filed under the name Mus musculus (house mouse). Its description in RNAcentral is "long non-coding RNA chr15:23041769-23043512". The record is from RNAcentral. Lineage: Eukaryota; Metazoa; Chordata; Mammalia; Rodentia; Muridae.